UUGAUCCUGGCUCAGAAUCAACGCUGGCGGCGUGCCUAACACAUGCAAGUCGAACGCGAAAGUCCCGCAAGGGAUCAGUAGAGUGGCAAACGGGUGAGUUACACGUGGGUGACCUGCCUUCGAGUGGGGGAUAACGUCCCGAAAGGGACUCUAAUACCGCAUGACAUCCUGCCUUUUAAGAGGUGGAGCUUAAAGCUGGUGAUCGCAAGACCUAGCGCUUGAAGAGGGGCCCGCGCCUGAUUAGCUAGUUGGUGGGGUAACGGCUCACCAAGGCAACGAUCAGUAUCCGGCCUGAGAGGUCGGACGGACACACUGGGACUGAGACACGGCCCAGACUCCUACGGGAGGCUGCAGUGGGGAAUUGUUCGCAAUGGGCGCAAGCCUGACGACGCAACGCCGUGUGGAGGAUGAAGACCUUCGGGUCGUAAACUCCUUUCGAUCGAGACGAAUGGCUUCCGGGUGAACAAUCCGGAAGAGUGACGGUACCGAGAGAAGAAGCUCCGGCUAACUCCGUGCCAGCAGCCGCGU
This 528-nucleotide ribosomal RNA is filed under the name uncultured Acidobacteriota bacterium. Its description in RNAcentral is "bacterial SSU rRNA". It matches the Rfam family "Bacterial small subunit ribosomal RNA", at positions 13 to 520 of the family's 1533-position model. The record is from RNAcentral. Lineage: Bacteria; Pseudomonadati; Acidobacteriota.